CCUACGGGAGGCAGCAGUGAGGAAUAUUGGUCAAUGGUCGGGAGACUGAACCAGCCAAGCCGCGUGAGGGAGGAAGGUACAGAGUAUCGUAAACCUCUUUUGUCAGGGAACAAAGGCGGGGACGUGUCCCCGGAUGAGUGUACCUGAAGAAAAAGCAUCGGCUAACUCCGUGCCAGCAGCCGCGGUAAUACGGAGGAUGCGAGCGUUAUCCGGAUUUAAUGGGUUUAAAGGGUGCGUAGGCGGUCUGUUAAGUCAGCUGUCAAAGCCCGGGGCUCAACCCCAGGCCAGCAGUUGAAACUGGCAGUCUCGAGUUGGAGAGAAGUAGGCGGAAUGCGCGGUGUAGCGGUGAAAUGCAUAGAGAUCGCGCAGAACUCCGAUUGCGAAGGCAGCAUGCCGGCUCCACACUGACGCUGAGGCACGAAAGCGUGGGUAUCGAACAGGAUUAGAUACCCCGGUAGUC
Molecule: ribosomal RNA, 460 nt
Filed under: uncultured bacterium
Lineage: Bacteria
Description: partial 16S ribosomal RNA
Rfam family: Bacterial small subunit ribosomal RNA
Source: RNAcentral